Molecule: ribosomal RNA, 460 nt
Filed under: uncultured bacterium
Lineage: Bacteria
Description: partial 16S ribosomal RNA
Rfam family: Bacterial small subunit ribosomal RNA
Source: RNAcentral
CCUACGGGUGGCAGCAGUGAGGAAUAUUGGUCAAUGGACGAGAGUCUGAACCAGCCAAGUAGCGUGAAGGAUGACUGCACUACGUGUUGUAAACUUCUUUUAUCUGGGAAUAAAAGCGGGUAUGCAUACCCUCUUGUGUGUACCAUAUGAAUAAGGAUCGGCUAACUCCGUGCCAGCAGCCGCGGUAAUACGGAGGAUCCGAGCGUUAUCCGGAUUUAUUGGGUUUAAAGGGAGCGUAGGUGGCUUGUUAAGUCAGUUGUGAAAGUUUGCGGCUCAACCGUAAAAUUGCAGUUGAAACUGGCAGUCUGGAGUACAGUAGAGGUGGGCGGAAUGCGUGGUGUAGCGGUGAAAUGCUUAGAUAUCACGAAGAACUCCGAUUGCGAAGGCAGUUCACUGGACUGCAACUGACACUGAUGCUCGAAAGUGUGGGUAUCAAACAGGAUUAGAUACCCUUGUAGUC